RNAcentral lists this ribosomal RNA (940 nucleotides) under Sunxiuqinia sp. RNAcentral's name for it is "bacterial SSU rRNA". It matches the Rfam family "Bacterial small subunit ribosomal RNA", at positions 76 to 1014 of the family's 1533-position model. Lineage: Bacteria; Pseudomonadati; Bacteroidota; Bacteroidia; Marinilabiliales; Prolixibacteraceae. The record is from RNAcentral.
UAGCUUGCUACAGAUGACGACCGGCGCACGGGUGAGUAACGCGUAUGCAACCUGCCUUUGACAGGGGGAUAGCCCGGAGAAAUCCGGAUUAAUAUCCCAUGGUAUUUACGAAUCGCAUGGUUUGUAAAUUAAAGAUUUUAUCGGUCAAAGAUGGGCAUGCGUGACAUUAGCUAGUUGGUAAGGUAACGGCUUACCAAGGCUGCGAUGUCUAGGGGUUCUGAGAGGAUGAUCCCCCACACUGGUACUGAGACACGGACCAGACUCCUACGGGAGGCAGCAGUGAGGAAUAUUGGUCAAUGGGCGCAAGCCUGAACCAGCCAUCCCGCGUGAAGGAAGACUGCCCUAUGGGUUGUAAACUUCUUUUCUGCACCAAGAAUGGUUACUACGUGUAGUGAUUUGACGGUAGUGCAGGAAUAAGCAUCGGCUAACUCCGUGCCAGCAGCCGCGGUAAUACGGAGGAUGCAAGCGUUAUCCGGAUUCAUUGGGUUUAAAGGGUACGUAGGUGGCCAAUUAAGUCAGUGGUGAAAUCCUGCCGCUUAACGGUAGAACUGCCAUUGAAACUGGUUGGCUUGAGUACAGUUGAGGUAGGCGGAAUGUGUAGUGUAGCGGUGAAAUGCUUAGAUAUUACACAGAACCCCGAUUGCGAAGGCAGCUUACUAAACUGUAACUGACACUGAGGUACGAAAGCGUGGGGAGCGAACAGGAUUAGAUACCCUGGUAGUCCACGCUGUAAACGAUGCUCACUCGCUGUAUGCGAUACAUUGUAUGCGGCCAAGCGAAAGUCUUAAGUGAGCCACCUGGGGAGUACGUUGGCAACAGUGAAACUCAAAGGAAUUGACGGGGGCCCGCACAAGCGGAGGAACAUGGGGGUUAAUUCGAUGAUACGCGAGGAACCUUACCUGGGCUUAAAUGCAGAUUGACAGACGUCGAAAGAUGUUUU